Molecule: ribosomal RNA, 466 nt
Filed under: uncultured bacterium
Lineage: Bacteria
Description: partial 16S ribosomal RNA
Rfam family: Bacterial small subunit ribosomal RNA
Source: RNAcentral
GAUGAACGCUGGCGGCGUGCUUAACACAUGCGAGUCGAACGAUGAAGCCCAGCUUGCUGGGUGGUAUAGUGGCGAACGGGUGAGUAACACGGGAGUAACCUGCCCUUAACUCUGGGGUAAGCCUGGGCAACUGGGUCUAAUACCUGAUAGGAGCGUCCACCGCAUGGUGGGAGUUGGAAAGAUUUAUCGGUUGUGGAUGUACUGGCGGCCUAUCCGCUUGUUGGUGAGGGAAUGGCUCACCAAGGCAACGGCGGGUAGCCGGCCCGGGAGGGUGACCGGCCACACUGGGACUGAGACACGGACCAGUCUCCUACGGGAGGCAGCAGUGGGGAAUAUUACCCAAUGGGCGCGAGCCUGAUGCAGCGACGCCGCGUGUGGGAUGACGGCCUUCGGGUUGUAAACCUCUUUCAGUAGGGAAGAAGCGAUAGUGACGGUACCUGCAGAAGAAGCACCGGCUAACUACGUG